GCAGCAGCCGCGGUAAUACGGAGGGUGCAAGCGUUAAUCGGAAUUACUGGGCGUAAGGCGCACGCAGGCGGUCUGACAAGUCAGAUGUGAAAUCCCCGGGCUUAACCUGGGAACUGCAUUUGAAACUGUCAGGCUGGAGUCUUGUAGAGGGGGGUGGAAUUCCAGGUGUAGCGGUGAAAUGCGUAGAGAUCUGGAGGAAUACCGGUGGCGAAGGCGGCCCCCUGGACAAAGACUGACGCUCAGGUGCGAAAGCGUGGGGAGCAAACAGGAUUAGAUACCCCUGUAGUCCCUGUCUCUUAUAC
Molecule: ribosomal RNA, 302 nt
Filed under: uncultured bacterium
Lineage: Bacteria
Description: partial 16S ribosomal RNA
Rfam family: Bacterial small subunit ribosomal RNA
Source: RNAcentral